CGCCCAGCAACACCCCGAAUGGACACACAAGAACAACUAUGGCAAAAAGAAGAAGAAGAAGGUGGGAUGCCAGAGAAAUGCUUCCACAGCUGAAGCAUCUGAAUUCAGGCCAGAGGACAAGAGGCUGAUCAUGGCUCCACACACACUGGCAGGUGCGAUGAACAUUCCACACCUGCAGACAGGUGUGAUUGGAGCCAGGCCGCAGCACCGUCGUCCUGCAGCUGCCACCAUCCUGGAUUCCAGUGGCUGCCCCUCUACAUCUGUUGUACCAUCCACAGAUGUAUAAGGUUCCCUCUUCUUCCUGGCAAAAUGUCUUCCCUGCUACACCCAAUAAUGCCCAAUAUUGGAGCAGCUCGAAGCAUCUGUUUUUGUUUAACACUGUGUUCAUUAAAAAUUUUUUUUAAAU
Long non-coding RNA from Larimichthys crocea (large yellow croaker), 406 nucleotides. RefSeq lists it as uncharacterized. The record is from RefSeq and is a predicted model, not a curated record. NCBI's taxonomy places the organism in Eukaryota, Metazoa, Chordata, Actinopteri, Sciaenidae. The transcript is spliced from 3 exons.